This 352-nucleotide small nuclear RNA is filed under the name Prolemur simus (greater bamboo lemur). RNAcentral's name for it is "7SK RNA (ENSPSMG00000015446.1)". It matches the Rfam family "7SK RNA". From Rfam's summary of the family: 7SK was discovered as an abundant small nuclear RNA in the mid-70s but a possible function has only recently been suggested. The record is from Rfam by way of RNAcentral. Lineage: Eukaryota; Metazoa; Chordata; Mammalia; Primates; Lemuridae.
GGUUGUGAGGGCAAUCUGGCUGCGACAUCUGUCAUCCCAUCAAUCACCAGGGUUGAUUUGGCUGUUCUGGCUGCCUCGGCGGGUGUCUCCUUCCUCCCUCACUGCUCCAUGUACCUCCCUCCUGAAUCUGCAGCUGAACGGCAGAGGACAACCUUCCCCGAUAGAGGAGGAGCAUUCUUCCUCCCUCAAGGGUGUAGGAGUAGUAGUGCUCCCUAUAGGAGUAGCCGUGCUCCUCUGCUAGAGCCUCCGCACAAGUUCUCAAGGUCCAUUUGCGGGAGAAUGUAGCGUAGUCAAGCUUUCAAGACACCGUACAUCCAAAUGAAGCACUACAUGUGGCAUUCUGACUUUCUUA